RNAcentral lists this ribosomal RNA (254 nucleotides) under uncultured bacterium. Its description in RNAcentral is "partial 16S ribosomal RNA". It matches the Rfam family "Bacterial small subunit ribosomal RNA", at positions 524 to 776 of the family's 1533-position model. The record is from RNAcentral.
UACAGAGGUCCCAAGCGUUGUUCGGAUUCACUGGGCGUAAAGGGUGCGUAGGUGGCAGGGUAAGUUUGGUGUGAAAGCUCGGAGCUCAACUCCGAAAUGGCAUUGAAUACUAUCCUGCUUGGAGGGUCGGAGGGGAGACUGGAAUUCUCGGUGUAGCAGUGAAAUGCGUAGAGAUCGAGAGGAACACCAGUGGCGAAGGCGAGUCUCUGGACGACACCUGACACUGAGGCACGAAAGCUAGGGGAGCAAACAGG